RNAcentral lists this ribosomal RNA (1360 nucleotides) under Parcubacteria group bacterium CG10_big_fil_rev_8_21_14_0_10_38_31. RNAcentral's name for it is "16S ribosomal RNA". It matches the Rfam family "Bacterial small subunit ribosomal RNA". The record is from RNAcentral.
UUAAGAGUUUGAUCCUAGCUCAGGAUGAACGCUGGCGGCGUGGAUAAGGCAUGCAAGUCGAGCGACGUGACUUCGGUCACGGAGCGGCAGACGAGGUAGUAACACGUAGGAACGUGCCUCUAAGACGGGUAUAACUAGCUGAAAGGUUAGCUAAUUCCCGAUAGUCCCUUCGGGGUAAAGGAGCAAUCCGCUUAGAGAUCGGCCUGCGAGCUAUCAGCUUGUUGGUAAGGUAAUGGCUUACCAAGGCGAUGACGGCUAGGGGAGGUGAGAGCCUGACCCCCACCGAUGGCACUGAGACACGGGCCAUACACCUACGGGUGGCCGCAGUCGAGAAUAUUCCACAAUGGGCGAAAGCCUGAUGGAGCGACGCCGCGUGCAGGAUGAAGUCUUUCGGGAUGUAAACUGCUUUUAUGAGGGAGAAAUUACGAUGAUGUUACCUCACGAAUAAGGGGCUGCUAAACUCGUGCCAGCAGCAGCGGUAAUACGAGUGCCCCGAGCGUUAUCCGAAAUUACUGGGCGUAAAGGGUUUGUAGGCGGUUUUGUUAGUCUCUUGUUAAAGCUUCCGGCUUAACCGGAAAAAUGCAAGAGAAACGGCAAAACUAGAGGAUGCGAGAGGUCUAUGGAACUCAUGGUGUAGGGGUGAAAUCCGUUGAUAUCAUGGGGAACACCAAAAGCGAAGGCAAUAGACUGGCGCACUCCUGACGCUGAAAAACGAAAGCGUGGGUAGCGAAUGGGAUUAGAUACCCCAGUAGUCCACGCCCUAAACGAUCUUCUCUAGCUUUUUGGAGUAUCGACCCUCCGGGAGGCGAAGCUAACGCGUUAAGAGAAGCGCCUGGGAAGUACGGUCGCAAGACUAAAACUCAAAGGAAUAGACGGGGACUUGCACAAGCGGUGGAUCAUGCGGUUUAAUUCGAUGAUAAACGAAGAACCUUACCAGGGUUUGAAACCCAAGCGAAGUCCGUCAGAAACGGCGGACGUCUCACAAGGACGGUUGGGCAGGUGAUGCAUGGCUGUCGUCAGUUCGUGGUUUGAAUUGUUCCCUUAAGUGGGGUAACGAACGCAACCCCCGUUGCCUGUUAUAUGUUUCAGGCGAGACUGCNNNNNNNNNNNNNNNNNNNNNNNNNNNNNNNNNNNNNNNGCGGGGAUGACGCCAAGUCAGCAUGUCCCUUUGACGCCCUGGGCUACACGCAUGAUACAAUGGUCGGUACAAUGGGUCGCGAAACGGUAACGUGGAGCCAAUCCCAUCAAAGCCGAUCUCAGUCCGGAUUGAGGUCUGCAACUCGACCUCAUGAAGUUGGAAUCGCUAGUAAUCGCAGGUCAGCUAUACUGCGGUGAAUACGUUCUCAAGUCUUGUACUCAC